CAGCCGCCGCGGUAAUACAGAGGGUGCAAGCGUUAAUCGGAAUUACUGGGCGUAAAGCGUGCGUAGGCGGCUUUUUAAGUCGGAUGUGAAAUCCCUGAGCUUAACUUAGGAAUUGCAUUCGAUACUGGGAAGCUAGAGUAUGGGAGAGGAUGGUAGAAUUCCAGGUGUAGCGGUGAAAUGCGUAGAGAUCUGGAGGAAUACCGAUGGCGAAGGCAGCCAUCUGGCCUAAUACUGACGCUGAGGUACGAAAGCAUGGGGAGCAAACAGGAUUAGAUACCCCUGUAGUCCCUGUCUCUUAUAA
Molecule: ribosomal RNA, 301 nt
Filed under: uncultured bacterium
Lineage: Bacteria
Description: partial 16S ribosomal RNA
Rfam family: Bacterial small subunit ribosomal RNA
Source: RNAcentral